This 449-nucleotide ribosomal RNA is filed under the name uncultured bacterium. Its description in RNAcentral is "SSU rRNA". It matches the Rfam family "Bacterial small subunit ribosomal RNA", at positions 26 to 518 of the family's 1533-position model. The record is from RNAcentral.
AGAGCGAACGCUGGCGGCAGGCCUAACACAUGCAAGUCGAGCGCCCGUAGCAAUACGGGAGCGGCAGACGGGAUAGUAACACGUGGGAACGCGCCCUUCGGUUCGGAAUAACUCAGGGAAACUUGAGCUAAUACCGGAUACGCCCUUACGGGGAAAGAUUUAUUGCCGAAGGAACGGCCCGCGUCCGAUUAGCUAGUUGGUGAGGUAAUGGCUCACCAAGGCGACGAUCGGUAGCUGGUCUGAGAGGAUGACCAGCAUCACUGGGACUGAGACACGGCCCAGACUCCUACGGGAGGCAGCAGUGGGGAAUAUUGGACAAUGGGCGCAAGCCUGGAUCCAGCCAUGCCGCGUGGAUGAUGAAGGCCUUAGGGUUGUAAAGUCCUUUUAACGGGGAAGAUAAUGACGGUACCCGUAGAAUAAGCCCCGGCUAACUUCGCGCCAGCAGCCGC